Molecule: ribosomal RNA, 380 nt
Filed under: bacterium enrichment culture DGGE gel band MRS10
Lineage: Bacteria
Description: bacterial SSU rRNA
Rfam family: Bacterial small subunit ribosomal RNA
Source: RNAcentral
ACGCGAAGAACCUUACCAGGUCUUGACAUCCCGAUGCUAUUCCUAGAGAUAGGAAGUUUCUUCGGAACAUCGGUGACAGGUGGUGCAUGGUUGUCGUCAGCUCGUGUCGUGAGAUGUUGGGUUAAGUCCCGCAACGAGCGCAACCCCUAUUGUUAGUUGCCAUCAUUAAGUUGGGCACUCUAGCGAGACUGCCGGUAAUAAACCGGAGGAAGGUGGGGAUGACGUCAAAUCAUCAUGCCCCUUAUGACCUGGGCUACACACGUGCUACAAUGGUUGGUACAACGAGUCGCGAGUCGGUGACGGCAAGCAAAUCUCUUAAAGCCAAUCUCAGUUCGGAUUGUAGGCUGCAACUCGCCUACAUGAAGUGCGGAAUCGCUAGU